UAGAAAUAGAUGAGAUAGUCAAUCAGAAGUUAUAUCAAAAGAAUAUAAUUUUCCUAAAAAUAUAAACCCUAAAUCCAAUUUCUCAACAAUUGGGAUGAACCCUUGACAGCAGGUAUAGAUAUGCAGCAAUGGUCUGAUCCGAAUGCAUCCUAAAGUUGUGAGCUUCAAUUUUUAAAAAUGGCAGCUGAAUCCUGUGUUGCGAAUGCAAAAUAUACAUAUAUACAUGACAAUCAUAAGGGAUCACUAGAAACCCUCGAUUCACACCAUGUUGUUGUUCGAAAAAGCAGUGCAAAGGCAUUCAUUGUAUACCUCUCUGCUCUUCUUCUCACAACAACUGCCUUCUCUCUCUUUCUCCUACAGGAUGGAUCAAUUCAUGUACUUCUUUGGAGCUUAUUUUUAAGUGCAUUCCUUGUCAAACAAUUUAUUUGGAAGCCUGUUGAGAAAGAGUCCAUCAUAAUCAUGCCAGCUUUUGGAGUCCAGCUUGAAACUCACUACAGCAGGUGUCAAACUGGAAAAAGGAAAAGUUGGUUCAAUGUGGGAGAAUAAUCCACCGCUUCAUUCCCAUUGAAAAGAUUUUGAAACCUGUCCUGAAUGAAUGUGUGACCCCAGUCACUUGUUAUUGGAACUUGUCUCUGAUUGUACGUGAGGAAGAAGAACUUGUGUUAGUUUUCAAGGAACUUCACCCACCAGUGAAAAUGUUAAUUCCAAUCUGGAAGGCGUUAUGUGCUGCCACUGACAACCCGGUCACUCAAGUUCCAAGUAGAUAAAAUAAUCAAUGGUGUUGAACUGUUUCGAAUAAAGAGCUAUGAUGCACCACAAUCUACCUUCUCGGACAGUUGUUGGUCAAUGGUACCUGAUAUAAUAUAACAUCAUUAUGAGAUUGGCGACUGUGCUAAAUUUUGUUCCCUCAACUGAGUGUUUUGUACAUGAUUGAAUUGAUAUACAUUUCAUAUUCUGUAAACGGAAGAUGGGAAAUUUUAAGAAAUUGAUUUUACCAAUCUAUUCAUUAGAAGAAUCAAUAUAGUGUCUGCUUUAAUCCUUUUACUGGUCACUGCACUUCAAAAUAUGUAAAUCAUAGGGAAUACCUGCAUGGACAUCAUUAGCAUGCAGUAGAUUAAGCCCACCUGGUUGUUGGAUGAUUGAAUUGCUGCUUCUUUGAGAAAGAUGGUUGUCAAAUUUUUUCAUUCAAUUAUAUCUUCUGUCCAGCUGCCGUGCUGUGUUGAUUUAA
Molecule: non-coding RNA, 1228 nt
Organism: Camellia sinensis
Lineage: Eukaryota; Viridiplantae; Streptophyta; Magnoliopsida; Ericales; Theaceae
Source: RefSeq, a predicted model, not a curated record